This 492-nucleotide ribosomal RNA is filed under the name uncultured bacterium. RNAcentral's name for it is "partial 16S ribosomal RNA". It matches the Rfam family "Bacterial small subunit ribosomal RNA", at positions 29 to 507 of the family's 1533-position model. The record is from RNAcentral.
AGUGAACGCUGGCGGUAGGCCUAACACAUGCAAGUCGAACGGCAGCACAGUAAGAUCUUGCUCUUACGGGUGGCGAGUGGCGGACGGGUGAGGAAUACAUCGGAAUCUACUUUUUCGUGGGUGAUAACGUAGGGAAACUUACGCUAAUACCGCAUACGACCUACGGGUUAAAGCAGGGGAUCUUCGGACCUUUCGCGAUUGAAUGAGCCGAUGUCGGAUUAGCUAGUUGGCGAGGUAAAGGCCCACCAAGGCGACGAUCCGUAGCUGGUCUGAGAGGAUGAUCAGCCACACUGGAACUGAGACACGGUCCAGACUCCUACGGGAGGCAGCAGUGGGGAAUAUUGGACAAUGGGCGCAAGCCUGAUCCAGCAAUACCGCGUGGGUGAAGAAGGCCUUCGGGUUGUAAAGCUCUUUUGUUGGGAAAGAAAAGCAGCAGGUUAAUACACCGCCGUCCUGACGGUACCUAAAGAAUAAGCACCGGCUAACUUCGUG